UAAGGUUUCGCGAUGCGAAUCGUCGCGCGUCCCUAGCCGCGACACGUGUCUACCGUUCGAGGCUUCGAUAAACGUGUACCCUGGUCCGUUGUCGCGCGACCACGUUCCAACGAUCUCGAGAUUUUACGCCGAACGGUAUUUACAACGAAAAGAACAGGAUACACCGCGAUUCACCGAACGAACGAACGACAGCGUGCCGUGUUGUAUCCGGCUGCCAUCGCGAGAGUAGGCCAACGAAAUGCGCGCAGGAAGAUGCGAGUGUCCACUCACCUGGAAGUGAAGUAUGAUGGUCCAUAUCAAACCUAGAGUCAACUUUGGGUUUCCAUCGACAAUGUCUUCAGCACGAAUAUUAACGAGCUUGAUCUUCUUGUAGCGCAAAAAGUCAAGAGCCAUUUGUACGUUCUGCAGCAUGUGGAAACGCAUCCGACCUCUCUCUCGCGGCUAAAAAACAAUAAAUUGAAUUAAUCGUA
Molecule: long non-coding RNA, 470 nt
Organism: Bombus pyrosoma
Lineage: Eukaryota; Metazoa; Arthropoda; Insecta; Hymenoptera; Apidae
Exons: 2
Source: RefSeq, a predicted model, not a curated record